UAUAUGCGAAUACGAAUAACAGAAUUAAAAUUUCUUUGAUUAAAACCCUUUCUAACAUGGAAGUAUCCAAAGUGCAUUUGAGGCACAUAAUGCUUUAUGAGUACAAGAAAGGAAACUCUGCUGCCGAAUCGACUCGAAACAUACACUCAGUUUAUGGGAAAGAAUGCUUGAAUGAAAGAACUUGCAGAAAAUGGUUUGCAAAAUUCAGAAGUGGAGAUUUCAGCCUUGAAGAUGAAGAUCAAACAGGACGUCCA
This is a long non-coding RNA of Octopus sinensis (East Asian common octopus), 254 nucleotides long. RefSeq lists it as uncharacterized. NCBI's taxonomy places the organism in Eukaryota, Metazoa, Mollusca, Cephalopoda, Octopoda, Octopodidae. The transcript is spliced from 3 exons. The record is from RefSeq and is a predicted model, not a curated record.